UGCGGCUGGAUCACCUCCUUUCUAAGGAUGAUCCUUCAGAUCAGCUCACGCUAUCUAUCGGAUCGUUUUAGAAACAUUCAGGGGCCAACAGUUUCAGGAUUGUUGAGCUCCAUUGGCGGGAUUUCGCCGUCUUCGUUUCUCUUUCUUCGCGGACGAACACGCGCCAGGGGCUGAGCGCUGUGCGGUGCACCGACUAAGCGUCGCGUGCGCGCCGGCAUGUCUCUCGUGUUAGGGGCUUGUAGCUCAGUUGGUUAGAGCGCGCGCUUGAUAAGCGUGAGGUCGGAAGUUCAAGUCUUCCCAGGCCCACCAUUUUGAUCGAGUGCGGAGCAUUCGUCUUCUGGUACGGGGCCAUAGCUCAGCUGGGAGAGCGCGUGCUUUGCAAGCAUGAGGUCGUCGGUUCGAUCCCGUCUGGCUCCACCAGAUGGUUUGAUCACCAACGGCGUUACCGUCGUCCGCGAAACAUCACUUCGCACUCAUUGGUCCGGAUGGACGGUGACGUGCGUGUUUUCUGACAUCGUAAAGAGGAGAUCGAUCCGAGUUUGGAUCAAGCGAAGCAAUUCGUCUGAACCAUUCAUUAUCUCCGGGAUCAUUUCGGCGCUCGCGCAUCGCAGUUCAUCGCAAGAUGAGUGGGGUGAGCGGGUUGUAAAUGAUCUCUUUUAGCGAAGCUUGACCGCCUCGCUAUCGGGCCGAUCUUACGAAGCAAGCUGGUCUUUCUAGUCAAUGUCCGGCUGCGCAAUCGCAUUCAUCGAGGAUGCGUGCCUGGGACUUCGGUCUUCGGGCAGUUGCGCAGACAACAUUCUGCCGAGUGUGUGGACAUUGAUAAUGAGAGCAAUCAAGUGCCUUAAGGGUGUUCGGUGGAUGCCUUGGCGCUGAGAGGCGAUGAAGGACGUGCUACGCUGCGAUAAGCCGUGGGGAGCUGCGAAGAAGCUUUGAUCCGCGGAUUUCCGAAUGGGGAAACCCACCUUCGAUAGCCGGAACUCCAAGACCUUGUGUGUUGGGGUUCGACCAGAAAUGCGAGAAAUCAAACCGCGAGGUUUUGGAUUUCCGGUUAUCAAGAGAAGGUAUGAGACCUCCGAAUAAAAUAGGAGGUUUUAAGCAAACCCAGGGAACUGAAACAUCUAAGUACCUGGAGGAAAGGACAUCAAUCGAGACUCCGUUAGUAGUGGCGAGCGAACGCGGACCAGGCCAGUGAUACAUCAAAGACAAUCGGAACCUGUCAGGAAAGCAGGGCCUCAGAGGGUGAUAGCCCCGUACGAGUAAUGCGAUGAUGUAUCCACGAGUAAGGCGGGACACGUGUAAUCCUGUCUGAACACGGGGGGACCACCCUCCAAGCCUAAGUACUCCUCAGCGACCGAUAGUGAACCAGUACCGUGAGGGAAAGGUGAAAAGCACCCCGACGAGGGGAGUGAAAUAGACCUGAAACCGGACACCUACAAACAGACGGAGCCCAAGAUGCGUUCUGGGUGACGUCGUACCUUUUGUAUUAUGGGCCAGCGACUUAAUUUAACGAGCAAGCUUAAGCCGAUAGGCGAAGGCGUAGCGAAAGCGAGUCUGAAUAGGGCGUCAAGUUCGUUGUAUUAGACCCGAAACCUAGUGAUCUAGCCAUGAGCAGGUUGAAGGUGAGGUAACACUCACUGGAGGACCGAACGGGUGUCUGUUGAAAAAGACUCCGAUGACUUGUGGUUAGGGGUGAAAGGCCAAUCAAACUGGGAAAUAGCUGGUUCUCCGCGAAAGAUAUUUAGGUAUCGCCUCGGAUGAAUACCUCAGGGGGUAGAGCACUGGAUGGGCUAGGGGGACUUACCGUCUUACCAAACCCAACCAAACUCCGAAUACCUGAGAGUACUAUCCGGGAGUCACACGGCGGGUGCUAACGUCCGUCGUGGAGAGGGAAACAACCCGGACCUACAGCUAAGGCCCCUAAUUCGUGGCUAAGUGGGAAAGGAUGUGGAAAUCCCAAAACAACCAGGAGGUUGGCUUAGAAGCAGCC
Molecule: small RNA, 1987 nt
Filed under: uncultured Bradyrhizobium sp.
Lineage: Bacteria; Pseudomonadati; Pseudomonadota; Alphaproteobacteria; Hyphomicrobiales; Nitrobacteraceae
Description: bacterial LSU rRNA
Rfam family: Bacterial large subunit ribosomal RNA (bases 831-1987)
Source: RNAcentral